CUCUACUAAAGAUACAAAAAGUUAGCUGAGUGUGGUAGUGUGCGCCUGUAAUCCCAGCUAGUUGGGAGGCUGAGACUAGAAAAUUGCUUGAACCCGGGAGGUGUAGUGCAAAUAACACUGCACUCUAGCCUGGGUGACAGAGCAAGACUCCAUCUCAAAAAAAGGAAAAAAGAAACCAUUGGGAUCUCUAAGAGUGUUUUCUCUCUUGGGUCCAGUUGUUUCAGAGGAGAAAGGGCAUCAUGAGUGACCAGGGUCCAAGUUAUCAUUCUAUUUUUCAGUAGGACUGGAAUUUUGGCAACACAGAACCCUGUGAUGUCUGGAGGAAACCAGUUCCUCAAAGCUCACUGCCUUUCCUCUAUUCCCAGCUCCGCUCUGCAUUGGACAAAACAGAAGAGCUCGAGAAAUUUUAUGAGGUAGAUGCUGUUAUGAAAUCCACAUUACAGAUGAGGGAACCAGGGCCCAGGAAGGUUCACUGGCCAGAAGUCUCAGCUGGUAAGUACGGGGCUGCAAGGCAUCAAUUCCCAGCCGUCUCACUGCCCUGAGAGGAUGGCGUUUUUGCUGGGCGUGGUGGCUCACGCCUGUAAUCCCAGCAAUUUGGGAGGCUGAGGCAGGCAGUUGGGACUUGAGGUUUUUUUUCAUGUGUCUUGCUGAAGAUUAAGGGGAAAUGUUACAGUGUUGGGACUUCCUGUCAUGGCAGAAUCUACAAUUUGAGCGACUUCAGUAGUAUCUCUUAGUCUAU
RNAcentral lists this long non-coding RNA (739 nucleotides) under Aotus nancymaae (Ma's night monkey). RNAcentral describes it as "lncRNA (ENSANAG00000039474.1)". The record is from RNAcentral. Lineage: Eukaryota; Metazoa; Chordata; Mammalia; Primates; Aotidae.